RNAcentral lists this ribosomal RNA (460 nucleotides) under uncultured bacterium. Its description in RNAcentral is "partial 16S ribosomal RNA". It matches the Rfam family "Bacterial small subunit ribosomal RNA", at positions 338 to 795 of the family's 1533-position model. The record is from RNAcentral.
CCUACGGGAGGCAGCAGUGAGGAAUAUUGGUCAAUGGACGAGAGUCUGAACCAGCCAAGCAGCGUGAAGGAAGACGGCUCUAUGGGUUGUAAACUUCUUUUAUAUGGGAAUAAAACAGGGUAUGCAUACCCUUUUGUAUGUACCAUAUGAAUAAGGAUCGGCUAACUACGUGCCAGCAGCCGCGGUAAUACGGAGGAUCCGAGCGUUAUCCGGAUUUAUUGGGUUUAAAGGGAGCGUAGGUGGCUGGGUAAGUCAGAUGUGAAAGUUCGCGGCUCAACCGUGGAAUUGCAGUUGAUACUGGCAGGCUAGAGUGCAGUAGAGGUAGGCGGAAUUCGUGGUGUAGCGGUGAAAUGCUUAGAUAUCACGAAGAACACCGAUUGCGAAGGCAGCUCACUGGACUGCAACUGACGCUGAUGCUCGAAAGUGUGGGGAGCAAACAGGAUUAGAUACCCUGGUAGUC